Molecule: long non-coding RNA, 293 nt
Filed under: Arachis ipaensis
Lineage: Eukaryota; Viridiplantae; Streptophyta; Magnoliopsida; Fabales; Fabaceae
Description: long non-coding RNA (AIPA_LNC001152)
Source: RNAcentral
ACCCUGUCAAUCAUCACGGCUUCCUCCUUGCACGCCGCAGGCACCACUGAACAACACAGCCCUACUCCACUUCAUGAUUCGCAGUAGUGUCGCCCGACCACCGCAAAAUUCCUCUCCCUCGCGUUGGCAGCUGCGCUGUCUGACUACUGUAGCGACCUCUUCCUCACAUUCGCAGAAGCAUCGCUCAACCACUGCAACUCCUUUCCCCUCGCGAUUCGUAGCGCGACUGAUCACCUUUCUAGUGAGUCGAUUGAUAUUCCUUUACUUUUUAUUUUCUAAUUUCCUUCUUUUUC